RNAcentral lists this long non-coding RNA (955 nucleotides) under Macaca mulatta (Rhesus monkey). RNAcentral describes it as "lncRNA (ENSMMUG00000053258.1)". The record is from RNAcentral. Lineage: Eukaryota; Metazoa; Chordata; Mammalia; Primates; Cercopithecidae.
GAAGUUGGUAACAAAAAUGCCACCACAGGUUGGGAGAAGACAAUCGAAACAAAAGCCCCUGAGAACCAGAAGAUCCACUGAUUAUCCAGUUCUUCUUAUAAACCAAGAUUAUCUUUAAAAAUCAUGAGAAAAAUACAGUUCAUUAUUUUGAAUGUACUAUAUUAGACAUCUUAUUCUCCAUUUCUGUUUCAAUCAUCAUAUUUUCUUCAAAAUGCAGCUCCAGCAAAUGUGGUUAAUGCUGGUGCAGGACAGGCUUUAACGACCAUUGAAACUACUGCCACCACCAAAAUUCAGUGGAUGCCUUCCUGAGUUGGGGUGAAACGGCAUCUUGAACUUUUCAAAUGACACGCAUCCCAGAUGUCAUCUCAAGGACAUGGACUUCUUUUGCAGCCUGUCCUACAUCCGUGGAAAUCAUGUCCUCUCCUGGAAAAAAGAGAAGAGUAUUAAUGAAAGCAAAAAUAGAAUCCUGGGGCAGAUGAUCUCUGAGCUUUAGUGAGGGGUUGACGUUAAUUAUGAGAACAAGACAACAGAUCUAGAGGACUUCAGUAAGUGAAAUUACAUAGGUAACUAUAGGCACUCUGACAUAGCCAGAAGUCACCAGGAGAGCCAAUGUUUCCCCAUAUUUUUAAGGAGUUUUCUGCAUCUACUAGUCUAUCCUGUGCUGUUUGUAUGGUUCCUGAAAUUCUGAAUUUCUUUCAGCCGAUGUAAAGCUCUGGUUACAUUGGGAGGGUCAGUGCUCUUAUUCCAAGUCUUUCCCCGGCUCACUGUAAACUUUGAGGGGAAAAGUAACAGAGGGACCAAGGUGCUUGCAGAUGCUGAUUCUUAGAAGUAUGUGAAAUAUAUUAUUAUUAGUUAGCAGUAGACAGAGCAAUAAAAUUACAGAGUGGUUAGAACCUGUAGUCAAAAUGUAGAAAUAAAGAGAAAGUCAGGAUUCAAAGCUCUGUUGUGAAGAAAC